This 77-nucleotide transfer RNA is filed under the name Paracoccus sp. (in: a-proteobacteria). RNAcentral describes it as "tRNA-Met". It matches the Rfam family "tRNA". Rfam says of the family: Transfer RNA (tRNA) molecules are approximately 80 nucleotides in length. Their secondary structure includes four short double-helical elements and three loops (D, anti-codon, and T loops). Further hydrogen bonds mediate the characteristic L-shaped molecular structure. tRNAs have two regions of fundamental functional importance: the anti-codon, which is responsible for specific mRNA codon recognition, and the 3' end, to which the tRNAs corresponding amino acid is attached (by aminoacyl-tRNA synthetases). tRNAs cope with the degeneracy of the genetic code in two manners: having more than one tRNA (with a specific anti-codon) for a particular amino acid; and 'wobble' base-pairing, i.e. permitting non-standard base-pairing at the 3rd anti-codon position. Lineage: Bacteria; Pseudomonadati; Pseudomonadota; Alphaproteobacteria; Rhodobacterales; Paracoccaceae. The record is from RNAcentral. RNAcentral also lists the same sequence under 39 other names.
CGCGGGGUAGAGCAGCCCGGUAGCUCGUCAGGCUCAUAACCUGAAGGCCGCAGGUUCAAAUCCUGCCCCCGCAACCA